Molecule: ribosomal RNA, 274 nt
Filed under: uncultured bacterium
Lineage: Bacteria
Description: partial 16S ribosomal RNA
Rfam family: Bacterial small subunit ribosomal RNA
Source: RNAcentral
AUACGGAGGGUGCAAGCGUUAUUCGGAAUCACUGGGCGUAAAGGACGCGUAGGCGGGUUGGCAAGUCAGAUGUGAAAUCCUACAGCUUAACUGUAGAACUGCAUUUGAAACUGCUAACCUAGAGUAUGGGAGGGGGAGAUGGAAUCAGUGGUGUAGGGGUAAAAUCCGUAGAUAUCACUAGGAAUACCGAAAGCGAAGGCGAUCUCCUGGAACAUAACUGACGCUAAGGCGUGAAAGCGUGGGGAGCAAACAGGAUUAGAUACCCUAGUAGUCC